RNAcentral lists this ribosomal RNA (530 nucleotides) under Fusarium graminearum. RNAcentral's name for it is "eukaryotic LSU rRNA". It matches the Rfam family "Eukaryotic large subunit ribosomal RNA", at positions 71 to 624 of the family's 3401-position model. The record is from RNAcentral. Lineage: Eukaryota; Fungi; Ascomycota; Sordariomycetes; Hypocreales; Nectriaceae.
GGGAUUGCCCUAGUAACGGCGAGUGAAGCGGCAACAGCUCAAAUUUGAAAUCUGGCUUUCGGGCCCGAGUUGUAAUUUGUAGAGGAUGAUUUUGAUGCGGUGCCUUCCGAGUUCCCUGGAACGGGACGCCAUAGAGGGUGAGAGCCCCGUCUGGUUGGAUGCCAAAUCUCUGUAAAUCUCCUUCGACGAGUCGAGUAGUUUGGGAAUGCUGCUCUAAAUGGGAGGUAUAUGUCUUCUAAAGCUAAAUACCGGCCAGAGACCGAUAGCGCACAAGUAGAGUGAUCGAAAGAUGAAAAGCACUUUGAAAAGAGAGUUAAAAAGUACGUGAAAUUGUUGAAAGGGAAGCGUUUAUGACCAGACUUGGGCUUGGUUAAUCAUCUGGGGUUCUCUCCAGUGCACUUUUCCAGUCCAGGCCAGCAUCAGUUUUCGCCGGGGGAUAAAGGCUUCGGGAAUGUGGCUCCCCUCGGGGAGUGUUAUAGCCCGUUGUGUAAUACCCUGGUGGGGACUGAGGUUCGCGCUUCUGCAAGGAU